Molecule: ribosomal RNA, 374 nt
Filed under: uncultured eukaryote
Lineage: Eukaryota
Description: SSU rRNA
Rfam family: Eukaryotic small subunit ribosomal RNA
Source: RNAcentral
AGCUCCAAUAGCGUAUAUUAAAGUUGUUGCAGUUAAAAAGCUCGUAGUUGAAUUUCUGGCCGGCGCUGUUCACGGCUCUCGCAGUCGGUUCAGGAGCCUGGUCAUCCGUAUGGGAAGCUAGCACGUCCUUCAGUGGUCGGCUAGUGGAUCAUACACUUUACUUUGAAAAAAUUAGAGUGUUUCAGGCAGGCAAUUGCUUGGAUACUGCAGCAUGGAAUAAUGGAAUAGGACUUUGACCUAUUUGUUGGUUUCUUGAGGUCAAAGUAAUGAUUAAUAGGGACAGUUGGGGGCAUCCGUAUUUAAUUGUCAGAGGUGAAAUUCUUGGAUUUAUUAAAGACGAACUUAUGCGAAAGCAUUUGCCAAGGAUGUUUUCA